GGAUACAUGUGUGGAGAAUAUCUUGAGUAGAUGUGAUGAUAUAAAAAUCAUGCUCAGUAGGAUUAUGCUGAGGCCC
This 76-nucleotide small nucleolar RNA is filed under the name Microcebus murinus (gray mouse lemur). RNAcentral describes it as "Small nucleolar RNA SNORD115 (ENSMICG00000020332.3)". It matches the Rfam family "Small nucleolar RNA SNORD115". From Rfam's summary of the family: HBII-52 is a member of the C/D class of snoRNAs, which contain the C (UGAUGA) and D (CUGA) box motifs. HBII-52 is encoded in a tandemly repeated array with another C/D snoRNA, HBII-85, in the Prader-Willi syndrome (PWS) region of chromosome 15. Lineage: Eukaryota; Metazoa; Chordata; Mammalia; Primates; Cheirogaleidae. The record is from Rfam by way of RNAcentral.